Long non-coding RNA from Homo sapiens (human), 1569 nucleotides. Ensembl annotates it as long intergenic non-protein coding RNA 2627. Lineage: Eukaryota; Metazoa; Chordata; Mammalia; Primates; Hominidae. The record is from Ensembl.
AGUAUAAAGAGUGCCAGGCAACGGCCAAUGGCUUCUACAAUCCCUUUCAUCCUGGACAGUCCAGUGUUGUGAUACCCUGACACCAAGACCCUUCCUUGGUUGUCUGGCACAGUGCUGCCACAUACCAUCUCAGGAACUUUCAUUUAUUUCCCUUUGUGUCCAAACAUCAGAAAGGCUUUCUGAGUUGCUUGCCAAGGUGUUCUUCAGCCUUCCCUAGGCUAAACUUCUCCAUUGGAUCAAUAGCAGGUGGUCAACAAAGACAAAAACACCAUCUUCAGAAUGACUCAGAUCAUCCUCUUGGGCAGCCCUUUUUGGAUAUCUCUAUGAAAUUCUGCAGCUGAAAGCUGACACGCAUAAUUAUUUCCUGUUAGAUACUGAAGAAAAAAAAAAGCCCAGGAGAUAUUGUCGAGACUGUUUCUGGGGUGUGAUUGGGGGAUAGGAGAUGAGUAAGUAAUGAAGACUUUCCUGCAUAAUAGCAAUAUUGUUAUUCAUACUGUAUGACAAUUAUUAGUUAUUAGUUACUUACAUUUUCUCAAAACACAAUACCAUUCUAAUCCAUCUGUGCCCAAUUUAGAGAGUAGCUCUAACUUCUUCCAUAAUAUUAUUGCUGUAAUUUUUUGUGAAUACCUCCUAGACCAUUCAGUGGACAGCAAACAGUGGCCAGCUCAGGAGACACUGAUAAGGACAGAGAAGCCACAAAAGAUUUACACUUGAAAGCAAGAUUUAGUUUAUUCUAGAGGUGCCCAGAAUCAGGGAAAUAGAUAGAAAUUGUGAGGUUAGAGAUUUAGACUUAACAUAUUAAAGCAUUUUAAACUACAUCAAGUUAUCUGAAAAUAGUCUGGGCUUUCUUGGGAGUUGAUGAGUUACCUGUCAAAAGAGGUGUUCUGGAAGACAUUGGGGCAGGGGGUGGGACAGAGGUGGAUGAGGAGAAAUUACUUUUUUUUUUUUUUAAGACAGAGUCUUGCUCUGUCACCCAGGCUGGAGUGCAAUGACGCGAUCUCGGCUCACCGCAAACUCCGCCUCCCGUGUUCAAGUGAUUCUCCUGCCUCAGCCUCCCAAGUAGCUGGGAUUACAGGCACCCGCCACUACGCCCAGCUAAUUUUUGUAUUUUUAGUAGAGAUGGAGUUUCACCAUGUUGGUCAAGCUGAUCUCAAACUCCCGACCUCAGGUGAUCUCCCCGCCUCAGCCUCCCAAAGUGCUGGGACUACAGGUGUGAGGCACCCUGUGCUGGUGAUGAGAAAUUAGUUAAUGGGGACAGUGUACUUUUUUUCUGGUGAUGGAUACCCUAAAAGCCUGACUUUGCUGCUAGGCAAUCUAUACAUGUAACAAAAUUGCACUUGUACACCAUAGAUUUUUACAAAACAAAAUACAUAAAUCUAUUUUUUAAAAAAGAAUACAUUGGAUUACCAUCUGUAGGUAGUCGGUACUGAAACAACUUCUAUAGGUUGGUCCAUAACCUCCCAGGUCACAGGUCACUUUUAGCCUAGCGACAUAAGGCAAUUUUAUGCCUCUGAAACUCUAAAAAGAAAUCUGUUCAUAUUUAUUAAAAUUUUAAUAAUGGUUUACACU